GUUCCCUUUCCACCGGGGUAGUGAAUGAUUCACAUUACACAGAAUUCCUUUUAAGUACAACUUCAUAGGAGUGACAAGCUCCAUCUGUUUUGUCAUUUCCAAAAAGAAGCCCCUCAAACGCUCCGAGGCCAGUUGGUUUCUAAGAGCUGAGUUUCAAAGAAGAAGAAGAAGAGGAGGAGGACGAGGACGAGGACGAAGACGAGGACGAGGACAAGGAGGAGAAGAGGAAGAAAGAAUGUUAAAGAUAAGACAAAUGAAGAUGAAAUAUUCUUGGUAGAGAAUAAAAAUCAGUGAAUGCAUUAA
This is a long non-coding RNA of Dipodomys ordii (Ord's kangaroo rat), 303 nucleotides long. RefSeq lists it as uncharacterized. The transcript is spliced from 2 exons. Lineage: Eukaryota; Metazoa; Chordata; Mammalia; Rodentia; Heteromyidae. The record is from RefSeq and is a predicted model, not a curated record.